Bacillus rossius redtenbacheri is the source of this 3375-nucleotide long non-coding RNA. RefSeq lists it as uncharacterized. NCBI's taxonomy places the organism in Eukaryota, Metazoa, Arthropoda, Insecta, Phasmatodea, Bacillidae. The transcript is spliced from 3 exons. The record is from RefSeq and is a predicted model, not a curated record.
UUAGUUACGUGCUAAAUGACCCCUGUGUUUGGUCUGCGCUGCUGGUUUUUGUUUGAUCGUCUCUCGUGUUAUCGCCGCUUAGAGGUCAGGAGGGGAAAGAGGAAAGCGAAUAGCGAUAACGGAGGAAGGACGAAAGCAGCUAUAUAAACUCGCGACGCGGGAAAUGUUGCGUCAUUAGGUCGAGAGCUGUUAGUGAGUUCGUGUGUGCGUGCGUGGCUGUGCGCGGGAGACUCCUUUUCUAUCACGUGGUUUGCAUCUGUGCGUAAGUGCGAGUGAAAUCAGCAUGCGACUUCAAGCUUUUUAAUUAGUAAGACUGGAUGCGAGCUGGUUUUGGAACCUAAAGGAAUGAGCCGUCGAACUCUUUCCGAGCAGCGCCCUAAAUGGUACAUCCUGGAAGGUAACUUGAGGUGAUAAUCUGCUCUCACUCUGAAGACAACUACCUGUGGACGAUGCAAAGUCAUCUACUUGAUCCAAAAUCCAAUGGUCAGCCAAGGGAACAUCCAACGUCAUAAUCAACUGCGCAGAAAAGCCACUAGCAAAACAGCAGCCAAAAUGUUGGUACAAACAAACAUCCCUCCCUUCUUCCUUCUUUCCUUCCUUCCAUCCUUCCAAUAUCCUUAGUCUGUGUCACUGUGUGUUCACCAUCUCUAAUGACCAAGUUGUCGACAAGAGGUUAAGUUACAUUUUUGGUUAGCCAUUUUAGCAACUUCAUAAUAGCUAAGAAUUCCCUUUUAAUGUACCCAAAAAUAGCCCAAUUGAAAUUAAUAUCAAUUAAUAAAUAUGUAGCAGUUACACAGGAACGAAUAUCGGCCUAUAGCUUUGACAAAGUUUUUGUAUUUAAUUUUUUUUCAUUAAAUCAAUGUUUUCCGAUCACUGAAGAGUUACAUAAUUUUUAGAUAGUACUAGUCAUGAUUAAAAUUAGUGUGUUUAAAAACAUUAAACAUCAAAAAGUGUUGUUAACUAUGCGGGCAUAAGUAUGAGAUUUUAUUUGUUGGAUUAAAAGUGUUGCAAUUUUCUAAAUUAAAUACUUAUAACUCAUUGUAUUUAGAUGUGCAAAUUAAAUAUCCAUGUUCAGUUUAGCAGUUUUCACCAGUGCCACACUUUUCAAUAUAUCAAAUUAUAAAAAAAUGCUUAUUUGCAAAACUAAAAAUAUGAUACAAAUAUUGUGGCUUCAAUCAUAUUUAUUUGCUGCAGUUUAUAUUAAAGUGGCUAUUGGCCCUCAAGAGGAGCAGCUCGUAACUACUAAAUAUUUUUCAAGAACGAAGAAUAAAGCAGCAUUCAAAAAGGUAAUUAUUUGGGAAGCCAACUUGUAAAAAUGACUGCUGCUUCAUUGUUACAGUGCCAAGACAUAACAAGCCAUUCUUUAUUAAUUUAACUUUUUUCCACAACUACUACUAGAUUUUCUUAUUCUUGUUGCUAUGCUUCUAUUAACUGGAAUGACUAAUCUCGAGUUUUAAUUCUUUGCAGUAGCAUGUCUCACAUUUUAUCUAGUGCUGCAAAUACAAAUUUCUGUACAUAUUAGAACUAACUGCUUAACUUUACCCUUUAUAGUCAGCACAAGAUAGGAACCAUUAAAGUUGCUUGUAAAACUAAUACAGUAGUCUCCAGAAAACUUGAUAACCCGGCGGUCCAGAUAACUCUACCACACCCUGGCAGGACGAAAAAAAAACCAUGUGUAGACCCGUUCAAGGUCCCGCAGUCCUUUGUCUCACGCCACACUCCCACUCCUCCACCACAUGUUUGGUGCCGGCGUGCGAUCAGCCGUUCAGUCUACCUGCAUCCUUUUCCAGGGUUAGUCUAUUUCUUAACCGCAUUGCGUAACUCAAUGUGAGUGAAUGUGCGUAUUGUAUCGUUCAAAGCGGUUUCACAGUUUAUGGGUGCUGGACAGUAUUCUCCGAUGACAUCUUCCACUAAAAGAAAACAAGUGAACUUGUCCAUGGAGCAAAAGUUACGGGCAUUAGACUGGAUAAGGGAAGAGUGUCAGUGCAGUGACUAAGGACUUGGGAGUUGGCUGAUCAGAGCCUGAAAAUUUCGCCCGCCAUCUACGAUCCUGCAUUGUUAAUGUACUGUCCGAUACCUUGACCCCCUCUGAACAACACUAUAUUUUUAAGUAAGGUUAGGAAGAAUUUGUUCAGAUUUUCAUUGUUUCCCAGUAGAGAUGAGAGAUAGAAUGUUUCCUUGCAAUAGACUAAGGCUGAGUCAUUACCUGAUCUUUCUACAUUGUGUGAGUGAUGUGCGCUUGUUUUUAAUGACCUUUCUGUCAGAUAGACGUGAAGCCAAAUGAAGUAAAGUAACAUAAAUAUGUAGUGUGUCUGUUACAUCCCUGUUACUAUCUACAGAAAUUACAAUACAAUAUUCGGAUGCCAAACCCUUUGUACAUGGUUGCCUCUAUUCGGGCACUUCAUGGAUGACUUCUACAGAGCCUAGUGCUGAAAUUUGAAGCUGCAGUACAUGCAUUGUUCACUUGUGAGUCCCGCCUACCUGAGCACACAUACGUUGUGCAGAACUUCAAAAGAACCCACGCAAAUUUAUCCGAGAGUUGUCUGUUUUAUGAAAAGUAUUUAAGAAUACGCUGAGGGCGAAUGAGUCGUUCAGUUUCCGUAUUUCAUUUUUAAACUUGUGUUUUUAAGAGAGUUAAAACGACAAAAAAAUGUGUUUUUAGAAUAAUUUUGAGGCAUGAAACAUCCUGUACAGAUUCUUGAAAGCACUCCAAGGGUCUGAGUUACAUCAUUUAUCUUAAUUUUUCCACCAUAUAAUGUUAUGGUUAUCGCUCAAAUUUAGUAGUUGCCCUAUGGAUGACGAGAAGACCACGCGUCAGUCCACAGCCUCGCACAUUGAGGUGAUACAGUGCUAGAAACACCAGUGCGUGUCUUACUUAUCAUCCUGCCUCACUAACACACAUACAUCCCUGACUAGGCAGGCCCCUUAACGUUGUUAGUUUUGUGUAAUUUUUAUCCACCAUAGCCAAAUAUCAUUGUUGUUCUUAGUCAUCCAGUAGUUUGUAAGGCAGUGAAGGGCUUUGCAUGAACUCAUCUGCAUCUUUUUAUUCGGCUUCAUUAUUUUAAUUGCAUUGCCAUCUGUACUAUAAUGUUAACAAGGAACAGCUUCAUCCAUCUCUGUAAAUGUAGUUACAGUAACUACGUAUCCUAAUAGUCAGCAAUUUUCAGUGUUAAGCUUUUUCAAAGUUUUUGUUGAACUUAUUUUUAGCAUGCUUUUAUUAGCUUGACCUUUAUGUAUGAAUGAAUGGACUAUGUAAUAAAAUAUUUCCAUUCAAUUUGUACCCACUUUACAACAUCAGAAUAUGUUGAAAUUUUGCAUACAUAUAACGAACCUCGGAUAAAAAAACCACUAAUUUCAAUCUAUGGGUAAUAACCA